AGAUUGAACGCUGGCGGCAUGCCUAACACAUGCAAGUCGAACGGGAGUAGCAAUACUCUAGUGGCGGACGGGUGAGGAAUACGUAGGAAUUUGCCCUUAAGUGGGGGAUAACCCGGGGAAACCCGGAUUAAUACCGCAUGACCUCGAAAGAGCAAAGUGGGGGAUCGCAAGACCUCACGCUUUUGGAGAAGCCUACGUCGGAUUAGCUAGUUGGUGAGGUAAUGGCUCACCAAGGCGACGAUCCGUAACUGGUCUGAGAGGAUGAUCAGUCACACCGGAACUGAGACACGGUCCGGACUCCUACGGGAGCAGCA
RNAcentral lists this ribosomal RNA (314 nucleotides) under uncultured soil bacterium. Its description in RNAcentral is "bacterial SSU rRNA". It matches the Rfam family "Bacterial small subunit ribosomal RNA", at positions 26 to 353 of the family's 1533-position model. The record is from RNAcentral.